GGGGCCGUAGCUCAGCUGGGAGAGCGCUACACUGGCAGUGUAGAAGUCGUGAGUUCGAGUCUCAUCGGCUCCA
Molecule: transfer RNA, 73 nt
Filed under: Planctomycetota bacterium
Lineage: Bacteria; Pseudomonadati; Planctomycetota
Also listed under: 1 other name
Description: tRNA-Ala
Rfam family: tRNA
About the family: Transfer RNA (tRNA) molecules are approximately 80 nucleotides in length. Their secondary structure includes four short double-helical elements and three loops (D, anti-codon, and T loops).
Source: RNAcentral